UACGAAGGGGGCUAGCGUUGCUCGGAAUGACUGGGCGUAAAGGGCGCGUAGGCGGAUGGCUUUGUCGGGCGUGAAAUUCCAGGGCUUAACCUUGGGGCUGCGUUCGAGACGGGUUGUCUUGAGUGGGGAAGAGGGUCGUGGAAUUCCCGGUGUAGCGGUGAAAUGCGCAGAUAUCGGGAGGAACACCAAUGGCGAAGGCAGCUCGCUGGGACGUGACUGACGCUGAGACGCGAAAGCGUGGGGAGCAAACAGG
This 253-nucleotide ribosomal RNA is filed under the name uncultured bacterium. RNAcentral's name for it is "partial 16S ribosomal RNA". It matches the Rfam family "Bacterial small subunit ribosomal RNA", at positions 524 to 776 of the family's 1533-position model. The record is from RNAcentral.